GUCCAGACUCCUACGGGAGGCAGCAGUGGGGAAUAUUGCACAAUGGGCGAAAGCCUGAUGCAGCAACGCCGCGUGAGUGAUGAAGGCUUUCGAGUCGUAAAGCUCUUUGAUCAGGGAUGAUAAUGACAGUACCUGAAAAACAAGCCACGGCUAACUACGUGCCAGCAGCCGCGGUAAU
This 178-nucleotide ribosomal RNA is filed under the name uncultured Clostridium sp. Its description in RNAcentral is "partial 16S ribosomal RNA". It matches the Rfam family "Bacterial small subunit ribosomal RNA", at positions 329 to 524 of the family's 1533-position model. Lineage: Bacteria; Bacillati; Bacillota; Clostridia; Eubacteriales; Clostridiaceae. The record is from RNAcentral.